RNAcentral lists this ribosomal RNA (350 nucleotides) under uncultured bacterium. RNAcentral's name for it is "bacterial SSU rRNA". It matches the Rfam family "Bacterial small subunit ribosomal RNA", at positions 143 to 507 of the family's 1533-position model. The record is from RNAcentral.
ACAACAGUUGGAAACGACUGCUAAUACCGCAUAAUGUAUUCCUUGGGCAUCCUUGGGAUACCAAAGAUUUAUUGCUGAGAGAUGGCCUCGCGUCUGAUUAGAUAGUUGGUGGGGGUAACGGCCCACCAAGGCGACGAUCAGUAGCCGGUCUGAGAGGAUGAACGGCCACAUUGGGACUGAGAUACGGCCCAGACUCCUACGGGAGGCAGCAGUGGGGAAUAUUGGGCAAUGGGGGAAACCCUGACCCAGCAACGCCGCGUGAAGGAAGAAGGCCCUCGGGUUGUAAACUUCUUUUACCAGGGACGAAGAACGUGACGGUACCUGGAGAAAAAGCCACGGCUAACUACGUG